This 253-nucleotide ribosomal RNA is filed under the name uncultured bacterium. RNAcentral's name for it is "partial 16S ribosomal RNA". It matches the Rfam family "Bacterial small subunit ribosomal RNA", at positions 524 to 776 of the family's 1533-position model. The record is from RNAcentral.
UACGGAGGGUGCGAGCGUUAAUCGGAAUAACUGGGCGUAAAGGGCACGCAGGCGGGCUUUUAAGUGAGAUGUGAAAUCCCCGGGCUUAACCUGGGAAUAGCAUUUCAGACUGGCAGGCUAGAGUCUUGUAGAGGGGGGUAGAAUUCCAGGUGUAGCGGUGAAAUGCGUAGAGAUCUGGAGGAAUACCGGUGGCGAAGGCGGCCCCCUGGACAAAGACUGACGCUCAGGUGCGAAAGCGUGGGGAGCAAACAGG